UACGGGGGGGGCAAGCGUUGUUCGGAAUUACUGGGCGUAAAGGGCGCGUAGGCUGCUCGCUAAGUCGGGUGUGAAAACUCUGGGCUCAACCCAGAGCCUGCAUUCGAAACUGACGAGCUAGAGUUCUGGAGGGGAAAGCGGAAUUCCUGGUGUAGCGGUGAAAUGCGUAGAUAUCAGGAGGAACACCGGUGGCGAAGGCGGCUUUCUGGACAGAAACUGACGCUGAGGCGCGAAAGCUAGGGGAGCAAACAGG
RNAcentral lists this ribosomal RNA (253 nucleotides) under uncultured bacterium. RNAcentral describes it as "partial 16S ribosomal RNA". It matches the Rfam family "Bacterial small subunit ribosomal RNA", at positions 524 to 776 of the family's 1533-position model. The record is from RNAcentral.